GGCGAAAAUGAAUCCCAAGAAAGCGCGAGUGGCCCCAUCGGCUUUAGAAAGCAGAUUCUGGGCAGACGCAGAGCGAGAUUUCAUAAGGACCAAAGACUCAGCCGCCUGAGAUGACACGGUGAGAGAGGAAAAAUACACCUUGCAGGUUAAGAGUAAGUUCCAGUUUGUCCUAUGCUAAGGCCUUGCAAGGUAAGAUUUCUACUUGUAACUAAUAAGUCCCUGUUUCUUACUUAGAUCUGAUGUUAAACCACAGAACACUAAAUUUGGGACCCCAUUCCCAUGCGGUAAUCCUUACCUCAUUCCUUUCCUUUCCCUGUAUCUUUCUAACAAUGUGUAACAGCUCCUGUGAACAUCUUCUCUAAAAAGGACCUCAAGGGGUGGGCGGGGACUGGUCUCUCAAAUCCUAAUUUGGGAUGAGGCUGGCCAGUCAUAAGUUUACCCCAAAUACAGCUUGCUCUAACUGGACAAUUUUGGAACCAGUCUUUCCUCCUCGGGACCCUCAGGGUUGGCAGAUGUGGACUCUUAAAUGUGUAUGACCGAGUUGGAGAGAAUGAGGUGAAGGGCACAGAUUUGCGGUCACGCAGGUCUCAGGGCUGGCUUACCCCAGCUGUCAUGAGGGGUAGAAAAAAUAAGUGUGGGUGUGGAGGAGCUAGGUCUCUAUGUCGUCUUCUUCCCUACCCAUGUUCACAAACACACAUAGAGAUUCCCCCACUUCCAAUGUAAAUAGUGAGUAAAAUAAAUCUAAAACAAAAACAACAGCAAUAUAUACUCAACAUGAAUGGAGCAGAAGAAAGCAGAGAUGAGCAAGGGGCAGAAUAGCAAUGAAAAAAAUUUAAUCUGAAAAUGUUAAGAAGUUCUUUGAGAUCCACAGAGCUGGCAAUCCCCCAGCUGCAGCAAUUAAACAGUAAAACCGGUGCAAAUUCCCAAUGAGGGGAGAGAGGCGGAGCACUGCUGUCGAUCUGGCUGAUAUGGAGAGAUAUUAAAAUAUGAAAAAUGGCUGGUAAGCUCAACACCUUCAUCAAACAGACAUCUUCCCGAAGGAAUGGACUGAAAACUGUAUUUUAAAAUUCACACAGGCUCUUUACAGAGCAAAAUUAAAGCCUUUUCUUUAAAGAGACCCAGACCUACGUUUUGCACUGAGUUCUGCCAGAUACAGAUCCGAGCUGGAGGCGGUUCAGAAACACCCGUGGGGCCAGCGCCGUAGCAGAAGCAGAAAGACAUUGCAAGAAAAGAAAACCUGCAGCCUAAGAAUAACUCUCAUCGAUAGAAGUACAAUAUUUUAAAACUAAAUAUUCACAAAGAUUACACAGAAAGGGGUAAUAUCCUGAACUGAAUUUUAUUAUACCUCAGGAUAUCUCAGAGAUAUCUCAGGAACUGAACAUUUUACAUUUUAAAUGGACAUGAUUCAACAGUAAAAAUUAAGACUGUAACAAACAAUAAACACUGAAAAAUUAUUGUCGAAAUUUGACCCUGACUCAGGAUAAAACCAAGACCCUGUAAAGGGGGACCGUCCUCGCUGACAGAAAGACGGCUACGGAAGUUCUCGUUCUUGUCUGACUUAAUGAAUGAUAAGCGGUAGGACCUGAAGUUGUGAAACACUGAGUGUCUGUGUUGACCAUCUCAGUACCACGCCGAGUGUCAGCCAGCCAGACUCAAGGAAAAGAGAGCAAAGGCAACUCCAUUGUGCAGUAUUGGAAAGCCCCAAGGAGACACUGUAGAGUUAAGGUCAUUGCAUGGGGUGGGGGAGGGGGUAUUUCUCCAACAUCAGCAGUGAGUUCCAGAAAAAGAACAUUUAAAUAAUACUGCUUGUUACAGCACCAAUACUAGCAGAUAGGGAUAGAGUAUGUUCAAGAUGACACAAAGUGAAGGGAAAGUUUAACAGGUAAAUAAGCACACAUACACUGUGUUCAGAGAUUGGGUAGUCAGCACUGUUUCUCACUCAGCAACCUCACUAGUAGGUAUAGUUGUUUAAAAAUUCAGAAAAUAAAUAUUGGUAUGGAUGUGUAAAAAUGGGCACCCUCACACUAGUAGGAAAUUAAAGGCACAGGCACUUCAGAAAGCAGCAUAGUAAAUACUACAUAACCUAGUAGCCCACAGACCCCCCCCCAAAAAAAAGAAAAAGAAAAUCCAGUACUCACUCAAAAAACACUCAUGGGAACAUUCAUAGCAAUAUUUUUUUUCACAAUGGCUCCAAGGCAAAACCAAUUCAAAUGUAGUCUAUCCACAUAUGGGAAUAUUACUCGGCCAUAAAAAGGAAGAGAGAACCAGCUGAGCACAAGCAUCCAGUCGCUCUUGCACUUUCCUGCCCUCACUUGCUCGCUCGCUCAUUCUCUGACCAUGGAUGCGGUGUGACCUGAUACCUCAUGCUCCUGCUACUGGGCUGUCCCUGCUCUGAUGGGCUGCAUCCCCAAAUUGUGAGGCGGAGCUACCACUGUCAUCUCAUGGGGACAACAUGACUUGCUAGAGCCUGUCUUGCCUCAAUGUCCCCUCUUGUAAAUCAUGGAAUAAAUACAGCAGUGCCCUGAAGGAAACAAGCAAGCUGAGCCACCAACCUGUCCUACUUUUACUUCUCCAGAAGAAAGCAAGUGGGUCCUCUGGAACGUCAUGGAUUCCUUUCUGGCUCCUCCAACCCAAGACCAUCAAGGACAAUGGUGGAGGACAGGGGACAGUGCAAGUCACCAGAAAGAUGUCAAACCUAUUGCUAAAGGGUAAAAGGAGAUAGCUAUCAUAUCACCCGAAGUCAAGUCUGCCCACCUGGGGUCAGGUUAAGGCCCUCUGAACCAAGGAAGGGGUUCAUUUACUAGUGACUCUGAGUUUAUGUAAUAAGAGCCUCAUUCAUUCAUUUGGAGAAGGGACCUUAAUUUUUCCUUGGGAUUUAAAUCACUUCCUAUUUUGCAAUAGGACAUUUGUAUUCCUAUUGGAAGGCAAAUAUGGGCUUAUGUAUUAUCAGGCACCAGAGCUACUAAUUAUAUAGGUCUCUUUUAAAGCUAUUCUCUAGAUAUUUUUGAUCAAUAUAAUAAUGUAACUAAUAGUUUUGGACAUAGUUUAGAUCUUGGUGGCAGGGCAGACACACAAUGCUUUCACUGUCCUAAUAGUGUAAUUUGCUUGCUUAUAGGAUACUCAUGUACCAAAUGACAAUUAGAUCUACCUACAACCUCUCGUAUCAAAAUCACUCUGAAUAUCCUUGUAUUAAAAUGUAAAAAGAGGGAGAUGUCUGAACACAGUCCAAAAAUGGAGUUGUGUGAGGAUUCUGAGUGCUUGUGAGAAAACUCCAUGAAAACAAGUCUUGUGACCACAGUUUCUUCAAAACACAGAACUGUUCUCGGGAUGUUUUUUCGUGCUCCUCCUAGGUAUAAUGGGUGGGAGCUUACUUCAGCUGUUGUUAUUCAUGUGUCUCUAUAGACAAGCAUGUUUUUACCAACACCCUACUCAUGUGAUUCUUAACCCUCAGAGUAUUAAGUGCCUGGUGCUCUGAGUGAAGCCAGCUAUCACAUGAGACCAGUCUGCCUCACACCGCAGUAAACAAUUCAUCAAUUAAAUCAUAGCCAGCAACAGAGUCACAUGGCCCAGAGAUCCCAUUACUCAGUGUCUACCAAAGAAAAAUAAAAGCAUAUCCCCACUUCAAACCUUUGUGUUCACGGCCAUCAGUUGGUAAACACAAUGCUGUACACCCACACAAUGGUAAUCACAGGACAGUACAGAGAAAAGCAGUCCUGGGACACACUGCAACACAGAUGAACCUGAAGGACAUCAUGCUAAGUGAAACAAGCCAGGCAGAAAUGAUUCUACUCAGAGCAGUGGUUCUCAGCUUCCCUAAGGCUUUAAUACAGCUCCUUGUGCUGUGGUGACCUCCAGCUAGAAUUACUUUGUUGGUACUUUAUAACUAUGAUUUUUUUUGUUUUGUUUUUUUUUGUUUGUUUUGUUUAUUUGAGACAGGGUUUCUCUGUAUAGCUCUGGCUGUCCUGGAGCUCACUCUGUAGACCAGGCUGGCCUCAAACUCAGAAAUCUGCCUGCCUCUGCCUCCCAAGUGCUGGGAUUAAAGGCGUGUGCCACCACCGCCCAGCCAUAAGUGUGAUUUUGCUGUUAUGAAGGAUAUGUUAGGAUAUCUGAUAUGUUACCUCUUCUGGAAGGGUCUUUUGAUUCCCAGAGGGCUCACAACCCACAGGUUAAGAACCUCUGACUCAGGUGAAAUAUCCAAAGCACGUGAUCUACAGAGACUAAGGGCAGCCUGGUAGUUGCUCAGGGCUGAGGGACAGAGAGUGACUACUAGUGGGUAUAUAGCAUUUCUCAGGAGAGCCAGCGACAGUCUACAGUUGGCCUGUGAUGAUGGCUAUGUCACCCAGUAAUGUUUAUAAAAACACGGAAUCACAUACUUUGAAUAAGGAAAUCCCUAUGGAGUACGAUUAAAACUCAGUAACACUAUUAAACAGCUAAUCAAAAUACUUAUCAAUAAGCACAGAUGACAAUACAAUCUCUUCAACUUUUCUCAAUGUUUGAAGAUUUUCAUGGUAAAUAUUUAGAGAGAAAUGCAAGUAAGAGGCUACUAGUCCUCACAGAAAGCCUAUCUCCGGACUAUAAUAACUACUGCUAUGAAGUUCAGGUUACCAUGAGACAAACCUAGCACAUGAUAAAGUAGUCAGAAUUCCACAAAAACUCUAAAUAAUGUAAAAAGACAAAUAAAUUACAUACAUAAUAUAAAAACACAAAAAGUUGGAAGAACAAUUUAUAACAGACUGACAAGAAGUAGGCAUGUGUUCAUCGGAUGGAGAAGCUCACACCUACAAAAAAAGACAAUCCCUGAUGGAAAGCAAUGUCACACGAGGAGCUGUGUCUCACAGCCAGCUAGAGGAAUAGCAAGGGGACACAGGAGACAAGGGGACACAGGAGACACUGUGUCAUGAGACUAAGGAUGGUUUCGACAUCUCCACAUGCCAGAGUGGAGCAUGAGAGUGGUGCAGGCAGGGGAAGAUGCUGCAGACUCUGGAAGCUCCUUAGUCACGUGUCCUUUGAACAAGGGUCCCCUUCCUGGAGGUACAGGGCAAGCACCUCCUGAGGCAGGGAUGGGAACUACACUGUCAGACUCAGGGCUGCCAGGGAGGUGAGUGUUCUGGUUGACGGGUUUUUUUUCACGUAGUAGCAGCUGUUGACUUCGAAGAGUGUUUUUAAAGAUAAGAGGGCUUCGAUAUGGCUCAGUUGACAAACCUUUCCAUGCACGAAUCCCUGCCUUUGAGCCCUUGGCACUGCAUAAAAAUCAAAGGAAACAGAACAAAACACAGGUGUGGAGAUGCACGCAUGCAACCCCAGCACUCAGGAAGCAGAGGCAGGGGGUCAGUAGUUCCAGGCUAUCCUUGGCUAUAUAGGAAGUUUAAGGUCAGCUUGGGAUAUUCAUGAGAUCCUGUCUCCAAAAAAUAAAAAAAGAUGGGACAGGGAGAAAAAAGUAGCUGUUUCAGUAGAGACCCUGCUUAGCUUGAGGCUGGGUUCUCCCUUUCAUUCCCACACUCAGUAAAGGAAACAAGGAGAACUACUAACAAGAAGAUGGGUAGGGGGAGGGGAGGGAGGGAGGGUGUGGGAGGCAGGAGGUAGUGGGUGAGGGGUGGGAGAUGGAAGGGAAGGGGGCAUGGGGUGGAGUAUAAAGGAAUAGGGAGUAAGGGGCGGGGAAGUGGGGGCAAGAUGAUGAGGGGAGAGGGUAAGGGAGUAAAGGGAUGGAGUGGGGGUGGGGGUAAGGGGCCUGGGUAAGAAGGUCAGGGAGUAAGGGGGAGAGAGAGUGGGAUGGGAGGCAAGGAGGCAAGGCAUAAGAGGGUCAGGGAGUGAGGGAGGUGAGGGGGUCGGGGUAUGAGGGGCCAGGGGACUCAUGUAAAGGGUGACAGGUUAUGUUAAUAAGUUAAUAUGGUGACAUGUUAGUGGCAGACUACAAUAUAUACAUGGUAAGCGUACAGAGACUGACAAUACAAGACCUUCAACUUUUUUCCAUCUUUGAAGAUGUUCAUGAUAAAUAUUUGGAGAGAAAUGCAGAUGAGAGAAGACUAGUCCUCAAGGAAAGGGUCUUUCCUGACUACAGUUAACUGCAGCCGUGCAGUAGGGUUUCCAGGAGACAGAAGCAGUGCCUGGCAAAGCAGCCAUAGUUCCACAACACACUAAGAGAUGAAGAUAAAGAGGGAACAAGACAAACCCUUCAAUCUUAUUAGAAGUAAAGCUAUUACUAAUCAAAAAUGAGCCACCUCUUCCAAGUCUUUAAAAAUGCAUUAUAUUUACUCGUUUGUGUUUGUGUCUGUGGCAUAUGUGUAUGGGUGUAUAAGCCAGCUAACAACUUGCAGGACUCAUUUCUCUUGGGGGAUUGAACUCAAAAUCAUCAGGUUUGGCAGCAAGCACCUUUAGCCACUGAACCAUCUUGCCAUCCUAUCAAUUCUUGAUAGGAGUUUAAAGUGCUAUUUAAUCCUGUGGAGGAUUCAUGGAGAGACUAGCAGCAGGGUGCAAAUCCUUUAAUUAUGGGAGUGUCUUGCAAACUCUCAGUAUCUCAGCUCCCAUCUGCAAAAUGGAGGACAGGACCUCAAACCAGCUAGGGUCAUGGACAGAGAGCAAGAGAUUGGCAAAAGCUGAGUGUGGUAGUGCAAUCCUAUCACCUGGGAGGUAAAGGCAGGAGGAUCACCACAAGGUUCAGGCCAGCCUGGGCCACAUAGUGAGACCCGGCCUCACAACAGGAGGGACUCGCAGCUGUCAAUGUGGAAUAGCCAGUGUGAUUUAUGGUUACCUCUGUGCUAGACUAAGUCUUUUUUGUGUGCAUGUCUAUGUGUGUGUGUCUAUGUGUGUGUGUGUGUGUGCUUGCAUGAAUAUGUGGAGGCUAGAGGAUGCUGUUAUGUGUCUUCCUUGAUCACUGGAAUGGAGCUGGCCCACUUGGCCAGUUUAUCUAUCGAGUUUACCUUGCCUCUGCUUCCCAAGUACUGGGAUUACAAGUGGGCCAUCACACCUUCACAUGAGUGCUAGGGAAUUGAACUCUAGUCCAUACACUUCUGUGGCAAGCACUUUUCUUGAUGAGCCAUCUUCUCAGCCCUCCACUGAAUUUUCUAUAACAAAUGUGUAUUAGCUUGGCAAUUAGGAAAGAAAAAUGUCAAAAAUAAUCUCAGCCAGUAGCAAUAAUUUAUUUAUUUAUUUAUUUAUUUAUUUAUUUAUUUAUUUGGUUUUUUUUCAAGACAGGGUUUCUCUGUGUUGCUCUGGCUGUCCUGGAACUCAGUCUGUAUAGACCAGGCUGGCCUCAAACUUAGAAAUCCGCCUGCCUCUGCCUCCCAAGUGCUGGGAUUAAAGGCGUGCACCACCACUGCCCGGUUAGUAGCAGUAAUUUAGGAUGCUGGGAUUUAUGGCUACAUGCUGUUCUUUCAUAUAGGGAGCCAAAUUUGUCCCAAAUCUAAGUGAAAAUUCACAAUCAAUGCCUUCCUAAUCUAAACAUUGAAAGCGUGGGGGAAAGAUGAAGUAUGGGACCAUGUGUCCCGUGAAAGGAAGAGCGAGUCAAGCCACUGAAGAAGAUUACACGCUCUGCAAUGCAUGAGACACCCCAGGAAUGCUCCCUAGUUGUUGCUGGACUGAGCCCCAAACUCUCUGAUCCCAUGUGGUAACCCACUGAAUCCAUUCAGAAUGCUACCUUGUGUCACAGGCCCUAUGAAAGUCAUCUCCAACUGUCUCUGUUGCCUGGGGGGAGCGUGAUAGCUACAACUGAGAAAAAGACCCAACAGCUCCUAGCCAUCCCCAGUAACACACACAGCAACUGUCCCUGUUGGGGCAGAGGAUUUGGGGGAGGGGAGAAGGAAGAGGACAAAGGGCCACUCUUAUGGAAAAAGUGUCCAGAAUGUCCCAGGCAAGCUUUUGAUCACUUGCCUUGCUUGGUCAAAGCAGGCAAAGGUGAACAGAAGGGCGGGAUGGCCACCAGCCAGCUCACAGGAUGAGGUCAGAGCAGGUGCAGAAAUGGCCGCAGGGAGGGCACUGGGCCUUGGAGGACAAGGGUCCGUGUGUGCUGGCUACUGUGGGGCAGAGCAGCAAGACUCCAUGCAGCCUGGCCUUGAGCUCUUCAUGAGGAGUGGCCCCAGUGAAAUCUAAACAACAGGAUGAGGGUGGACCAGCAGGCCACUUCCAAUUAGAGCACUGGGUAUCGCCUGGGCUCAUCACAAGGGCUGCCGUUCACAGGGCUGCCGUUCACAGGGCUGCCAUUCACAGGGCUGCCAUUCACAGGGCUUGUGCUCCUGCCUGGAUCAGCUGUCACUGUCUUGAAACAAAAACUUCUAUGAGGUACCUGUAUUUUAAUUUUGCACUGGGACCACAAGUUAAGCAGCAGGGGUUGCUGGGAGGUGAGAGAUGCAGGAACCGCUUCUCUGAAUCCCAACUCCUAAGAACUGUGAGUUAGCAUCGAGGACCAGAAAAACUCCAUCUGAUACUCGCCAGAUCUGCAUCUGGUCCAUCCUGUUGGGUUUCCAGGAAGGGCAGGAGAAAAGGCAGCUGCUGAGCCAGGAGGGGGCACCCAGGGAUAGGGAUGUUUCACCGUAUUGGUUUUGUUUUAUUCUGAUGCUGGGAAUGGAACCCAGGCCCUCAACCAUACUAACCAAGCUUGCCGCUCAGCGACUGCCUAGUCCUCUUGUUAAUCAAACACAAGUCAAGGCCUUAAGGAGGUACAGGCUGUACCCAGCAUAUGCCUGUGAGCCUAGCACUUCAGAGGCUAGGGCAGGGGGGGUUCCUGAGUUCCAGGCCACCCAGGGCUCCAUAGUGAGACCCUGCCUUAAAAACGAAAUGAGGGGCUAGGGAGACAGCUCCGUGGCUAAAGUCCUUGCUGUGCAAAUGUGAGGUCCUGCAUUUGGAUCCCAGCAUCCAUGGAAGGCUGGGUCCGGCAGUGUGCACAGGUCCUGGAGGGAGAGGGUGGAGGGGGAGGGUGGAGACAGGCAGACCCCUGGGCUUGCUGGCUGGCCAGCCUAGCUCAAUCAGUGACUCCACGGGUCCGUGAGAGGUGGAAGAUGUUGUCAAGGGAGGACUGCGACACCAGAGGGAGGUGUUCACACCCUGGUAUUGCAGGCCUCCCACUCCAGGGAACUUGUCCCAGAAAGAAACCCAAGUGAAGAAAGCGUAUGUGCCGAAGAUGCUCGGGCAGCAGUUUGGCUGUGCUGAUGAUCUGAGCAGAAGAGACUCGCUGAACAGAAGGAAACUCAUUCUGGAGACAUUUGAUACAAUCAAGCCCACAGUCACGUGGGGAGCUGCCUGGGUCGCACUGCCAUGGGAAAAGGAUGUAAAAGAGACGUUCGUCUGAAGGAAAAGUAUGAACCAGAAAUAGGAACCUAACGGUAGUGUCCUGAACUGUCACAGCACCGGAACUGCUGUCUCAAGAGCAUCCUUCAAAGUAACAGCUGUCCAGGGACAGAAGAGUGGCCCCGCUAGGCCAAGAACAAAGUAUGUGGGUUGGAGGGCUGGAAAGAAGGCUUGGGACUCUGCAACACAUGAACAAUCUCACAAUGGCUCCAGGGAUGAAGGUUCUCAACAGGGCCACUUCCUAAGUAAAACUAAACACUCCAGGCCGAGCCACACACCGAGUAACUGCCCUCAUUUCCCAUGGAAUACCCCACAAUAACCUAGGGUACUGUCCAGGUGAGGUGCAAACCUGAGUCCAUGACUCCCUUCCAUCCUGGUAUGACAGUGGAUGUGGGCAGCUACUAUUUCUGCAGAUGUGCGUCAGCGGUCAUUAUCCAACAUGAACGUCAGAGGAGAGGACGUAAAAGGAAGUUUAUCUUUAGCAGCCUGAGGCCCAUGGCUCCAUCAUUAUUCAUGUUGUUCCUCUGUGUGGUCAGACGCAUUGCUGGUGUGAGCUGACUGGCCCCUUACAGGAAAACUGGGCACUGGGGAAUGAAUCAUGCCUACACGGGCAGUUAGUGGCUGGCCUUGUAGGAUGUUCUUUGAAGAGGUCCAAGAUGGGGGAGGGGCGUGAGCUCCAGCUCAACCUUGUGUUGAGACUGUGUUCUCUUCAGUCCACUGCUUACCCUGAUGUUUCUCUACUUGGUUUCCUGGUGAGCCCUGAUCCAAUUCUGGCCUAUACCUGAGCCCUCAUGGGGUCACCUGUCUUGGCCUGGCACCUGAGUGGCCCUCUGUUUAUUGCUUUGAGCUAGCAGAGAUCACUGUAUUACUCUGAUAAAUGCUUUUGUUAACAGGGCUGCUCAGGCUGUAUGACUGAACAAUUGUGUACUGCAUAAUUCUAGGAGGGAGGGGCCACCACACUAAACACUGUAGAUUCAUUUUUACUGUAACACAUGUCCAAUAGUUGCAAGAAAAGAGUACCCACCCCUGCAAAAUAAUGUAAUAAUCUUAGAAUAAGUGGAAGUGAGGGUCUUGGGGAGUCUGUCAAGGCUCCAAGUAGGCCCACUGCAGCCUCCAAACAACGGAUGAAGCUGCCCCCAGCAUCUGUACUGCCUUCCUUAGACUCUUGGGGGCCUCUGACCAAAAUACACUCUAGGCUGCACGGUUGGGAAACCUGAUGCCUGACAUAGUUCUGUUGACCUCAUAUUUACUGAGUACACUGGGCCAUGGCCAAACAAGAUGGUGUGUUACUCUUCUCUGGUGUGCUUUCUCUUCUACUUUGAUCACCCAGCCUGCCCUCAGAAGCCAGAGCUGCAGGCUGCUUGCCACCCCGGUCUCUGAGCUGCCACAGGCAUAAAUUCAGCCUGUGUGUGUAGCAGUGAGGGCGAGGGAUGCCUGCUCUCCCAGACUCUCCUAAACUCUCCCUCUUCCCACAGUGCUCUGCUCCCCAACCUGCCCCCUGCUCCCACACAAGCAUGCUCACAACACACAGGGGUGGUAUCCUCUGUAGAACUUCGCCCCUGCUCCCCCACAGGCAUACCCUUCCCCACCCCUCAGCUGCCUGUCUGCAGAGGGCCCUCCUCAUGGGCUUCCUGGCAACACCUUUCUCAGCUCCUGUGCGUUUGCCUCACUGAACAGUCUUGAUUCUCCACUUGAUGACCUCCUGUAUGCCCUGGACACCAACUCUGGCCACAGGGCCCUAUUCAGGCCUAAGCUCUUUCCGUGGGAAGGUACAGAAGGAUCAGGAGGCCCGUUGGCCUGUAAAUGAGGUGAGUAGGGCACUCCACCCUCCUCUCCUCUGGGAUGGACCUCAGUCCCCUGGCUACAGACAGUGCGCCCCACCACAGCGCGCGAGAAUAACCGAAAAACAAGAUUUUCUGAUAUAUGCAAAAGGCAGAGUGUGCUGACUUCUCUACCACUUCCCUCUACCUCUGGAACACCACAACAGUGUUGACUCCCCCCGCCCCCCUGCAUUUAGCCUUUCCCAAGUGACAAGGAUUCUCCCUCAAGGCACCUUCUGCAUGCUCCAGGGUCUGAGGUUCCUCCCCAGAAAAUGAGUGGUAUGCCUUGCAGCUUGGGCCUUCCAGUGCAUUCUGUUCCUUGACCACCCCUUUGGCACCCAUCAGACUUUUGCCUGUGUGAUCUUAGGACAGUCAUUUUUCCUCCUUGAGCCUCAGUUUCCCCAUCUGUAAAGUGAUAAUGGCAAUAGUCCUCUUGCUUGCUGUGUUACUUGGGGCACUGUCUGGACGUGAUGGUUUGAAACUAAGCACAUCUGCCAAAGGCUCCCACUGGAGGGUCUGGCCACCGGCUGAGGGACUCCUGAGAGGAGCCAGAGCACAGGGGGCCUAACUUCUCAGAGGCUGAUCCUCCUCCUCCUCCUCUCCCGCUUUCUACAAUUCAGCACCCCACCCCCAGCCCUUCUACCAUGGUAUUCUGUGCUCUCUGGGCCCAGAAGCAACAUCAGCCAACCAAGUACUAACAAAUGCGGCCUAAACAAAGUCACAUUCUCUUUGUUUUGUCACAGCAACAAAAUGCUAACACCAAGGGUGCUACAGCUCUCCUUCAAAGCCCUAUGGUGGCUUCGUUUUCCGUAUGGGGACCAGGGGUGGCCCAGGUUACCCAGUCAGACUUCUGCCUCCAAACCAUCUUUGUCCCCUGUGCAAACAAGGGCAGUGAGGCACUGCUCCUGACUGGCAUGUAAAAAAAAUCACACAGGAGCUUAAAAUCCACCAGUGUCCUCACAUGAGCAGGUACCAAGUAUUAAUGAGCAGUCAGAGGCUUCCACACAGGUGACUGCAUAGGUCCCCCUUCAUGGGGCUACACUGAGCAGUAGUAACCACUGGGUACAGGGAAAACCUUUAAUAUGGACAGCCCUGAAGCGAAGUCUCCUUUCCAUGAGCCAUUGGUCAUCUCCAGAGAUGCCAGGGCUGUACCCUCCUUACCAUGCCUUCAUGCCCAGACACUAAUAGCUGUCACCUCACAAGGCCUGGUGUCAUACCCUCAGUCUGCCUGCCUGUCCUUUCUGACCCACUCCCUCCCACUUCUAGCCUGUCACAAGGCUCUGAGACCUUUGACCUCCUGACCCCUAUCCUGUCCUUAUUCCCACCUGUGCCACUGUACGAAUCCUAUAACAGGAGGGGUUACUUCCACCAGGAAGUCCUCUGUGAUUUUUCACUUUAUCAAUUGCUUUUUCUCCUUCCCUCCCUCCCAUCCUCUAGUAAAGCCACUUGCCUCAGUAGCACUAAAACAACUAAAUAAAUAAAUGAGAAGAUAGGACAAUAGCU
Long non-coding RNA from Mus musculus (house mouse), 12602 nucleotides. RefSeq annotates it as predicted gene, 51881. The transcript is spliced from 3 exons. The record is from RefSeq and is a predicted model, not a curated record. Lineage: Eukaryota; Metazoa; Chordata; Mammalia; Rodentia; Muridae.